UACGUAGGGUCCGAGCGUUGUCCGGAAUUACUGGGCGUAAAGAGCUCGUAGGUGGUUUGUCGCGUUGUUCGUGAAAACUCACAGCUCAACUGUGGGCGUGCGGGCGAUACGGGCAGACUAGAGUUCGGUAGGGGAGACUGGAAUUCCUGGUGUAGCGGUGAAAUGCGCAGAUAUCAGGAGGAACACCGGUGGCGAAGGCGGGUCUCUGGGCCGAUACUGACGCUGAGGAGCGAAAGCGUGGGGAGCGAACAGG
RNAcentral lists this ribosomal RNA (253 nucleotides) under uncultured bacterium. RNAcentral's name for it is "partial 16S ribosomal RNA". It matches the Rfam family "Bacterial small subunit ribosomal RNA", at positions 524 to 776 of the family's 1533-position model. The record is from RNAcentral.